This 253-nucleotide ribosomal RNA is filed under the name uncultured bacterium. RNAcentral describes it as "partial 16S ribosomal RNA". It matches the Rfam family "Bacterial small subunit ribosomal RNA", at positions 524 to 776 of the family's 1533-position model. The record is from RNAcentral.
UACAGAGGUCUCAAGCGUUGUUCGGAUUCAUUGGGCGUAAAGGGUGCGUAGGCGGCGCGGUAAGUCGGGUGUGAAAGCCCUGGGCUCAACCUAGGAAGUGCACUCGAAACUGCGAAGCUGGAGUCCUGGAGAGGAAGGCGGAAUUCUCGGUGUAGAGGUGAAAUUCGUAGAUAUCGAGAGGAACACCGGUGGCGAAGGCGGCCUUCUGGACAGUGACUGACGCUGAGACGCGAAAGCGUGGGGAGCAAACAGG